This 520-nucleotide ribosomal RNA is filed under the name uncultured bacterium. RNAcentral describes it as "bacterial SSU rRNA". It matches the Rfam family "Bacterial small subunit ribosomal RNA", at positions 29 to 526 of the family's 1533-position model. The record is from RNAcentral.
AAUGAACGCUGGCGGCGUGCUUAACACAUGCAAGUCGAACGAGAACGGAAUCCUUCGGGGUUCUCAGUAAAGUGGCGCACGGGUGAGUAACGCGUGGGUAAUCUACCCUUGAGUCUGGAAUAACGUCUCGAAAGAGGCGCUAAUACGGGAUAAGACCACAGGGACUUCGGUUCUAGGGGUAAAAGGUGCUUUCGGGCAUCGCUUGGGGAUGAGCCUGCGUGACAUUAGAUUGAUGGUGGGGUAAUGGCUCACCAUAUUGUCUACGAUGUCUAGCUGGUCUGAGAGGAUGAUCAGCCACACUGGGACUGGAACACGGCCCAGACUCCUACGGGAGGCAGCAGUGAGGAAUUUUGCGCAAUGGGGGCAACCCUGACGCAGCAACGCCGCGUGAGUGAUGAAGGCCUUUUGGUUGUAAAGCUCUGUCGCCUGGAAAGAAACCUUGGGGUAGGAAAUGACUUCAAGUUGACGGUACCAGGAAAGGAAGGACCGGCUAACUCCGUGCCAGCAGCCGCAGUAAAAC